AACGCGAAGAACCUUACCAAAUCUUGACAUCCUUUGAAAACUCUAGAGAUAGAGCCUUCCCCUUCGGGGGACAAAGUGACAGGUGGUGCAUGGUUGUCGUCAGCUCGUGUUGUGAAAUGUUGGGUUAAGUCCCGCAACGAGCGCAACCCUUAUCCUUUGUUGCCAGCGGUUAGGCCGGGAACUCAAAGGAGACUGCCAGUGAUAAACUGGAGGAAGGUGGGGAUGACGUCAAGUCAUCAUGGCCCUUACGACCAGGGCUACACACGUGCUACAAUGACAUAUACAAAGAGAAGCGACCUCGCGAGAGCAAGCGGACCUCAUAAAGUAUGUCGUAGUCCGGAUUGGAGUCUGCAACUCGACUCCAUGAAGUCGGAAUCGCUAGUAAUCGUAGAUCAGAAUGCUACGGUGAAUACGUUCCCGGGUCUUGUACACACCG
Molecule: ribosomal RNA, 436 nt
Filed under: bacterium 136
Lineage: Bacteria
Also listed under: 1 other name
Description: bacterial SSU rRNA
Rfam family: Bacterial small subunit ribosomal RNA
Source: RNAcentral